GAGGGUGUGGCUCAGGGCUAGAGCACGUGCUUGGCACACAGGAAGUCCUGGGUCCCAUCCCCAGCCCCUCCA
RNAcentral lists this transfer RNA (72 nucleotides) under Camelus bactrianus (Bactrian camel). It matches the Rfam family "tRNA". Rfam says of the family: Transfer RNA (tRNA) molecules are approximately 80 nucleotides in length. Their secondary structure includes four short double-helical elements and three loops (D, anti-codon, and T loops). The record is from Rfam by way of RNAcentral. RNAcentral also lists the same sequence under 1 other name. Lineage: Eukaryota; Metazoa; Chordata; Mammalia; Artiodactyla; Camelidae.